AUCUCGUCAAAAGCGAGAUCACGCGAGAGUAGGUGCGGGUCUGUGUAGUGCUUGGUUGUGGUGUGACAGCAACUCUUGUUUUUUUUUUCGACUUGUUUCCGAGUGCUGGGAGAUUACCAAAGAUCAGACGACGAUGAGUGAAGAUAACACCGAGAUGAAGGGAGAUGCUGAGGUGGAUUUGAUGGAAGAGCUGCUGGACUCUGCAGAGAACUUUGAUGAUGAACUGAAUGAUGUUGCUGAUGACAAAGCCAAUAAACGUCGGAAAAAAACAGUUGAAACAACCAAAGAUGCUGCGGUAAAGGUGAAAAAAGAGGAGACCAAGGAAGCUGCAAUCAAAAGAGCCAAAUUAAAGGAGAAACAGGAAGCUAUUCGAAUUAAGCGAGAGAACAAGAAGAAGACCAAACCUGUCAAGAAAGAAAUUGAGGGUGAAGAAGGAGACAAAGUGAUUGAGGGUGAUGGAGACAUGGAGUUUGACACACGAAGUGAAGCUUCCUCUGACCAUAAGCUUUCCGAUGAUGAACCAUCUAUGAGUGAUGCCUCUAGGACAUCCUCUAUUUCAAGGGAAUCAUCAGUUGAGAAAGAUGACAUGGAGAAGGAGGAAAUUAGGAACCGAAAACGCAGUGCCUCCGAGACUUCUCUGAAGAGUGCUGAUGAUCCAAUGAAGACUUUGAAGGAACACCCAGUGAAGAAGAAGUAUGACUAUAUAACAAAAAUAAACUACAUGUUCCGAGAUGCAAGAUUCUUUCUGAUGAAAUCCAACAAUGCUGAUAACAUUUCUCUUUCAAAAACUAAGGGAGUGUGGUCCACUCCACCUCAGAAUGAAGCUAAAUUAAAUCAAGCUUUCCGUGAAGCCAGGAAUGUCAUCCUGAUAUUUUCCAUCAAAGAAAGUGGGCGAUUCUGUGGAUUUGCAAGACUAGCUGGAGAAUCUCGCAGGGACUUGCCACCCGUCACAUGGGUCUUGCCUCCAGGACUUUCUGCACGGGCUCUUGGUGGAAUAUUUGAGCUUGAUUGGGUAUCCAGGAGAGAUUUAUCCUUCACCAAGACACAGCACCUUUACAAUCCCUGGAAUGAAGGCAAACCAGUAAAGAUUGGCAGAGAUGGUCAGGAAAUAGAGCCCCGUGUAGCAGAGGAGCUGUGUCGGUUAUUUCCUAAAGAUGAAGGAAUAAAUCUCACGCCAGUUUUGCACAAAAGUAAACGUGCUUCAAGAGUGGCCCGUGCCAGAGGUCCACUUCGUCGGCCACUACAGUCACCCGGAGACCGCAGGGGCCGCCCUAGAGAACGUGGAAGCUUCAGAGGCCGUGGGGACGUUGGCUUCAGGUGCGUCACUUCCACCAGGGUUGAGUCUCGAAAAGGAGAGGCCUGCAUUUUGUCAAAACUGUCACUGAUACCUACACAUGUGGAACUUCAGCACAUUUUUCAACUAGAGCAGCAAACACCACUUCCCUUGACAACCUUAUUCCUUCAGUCUUAUCCUAUGCUUGCUUACCAACAAAUACUCACUUCAUUUACUAACACUAAUUCCUAUAUUUUGAAGCUCACUCCUGUACACAUCAAUUUCCUAAUACAAAACACAACACAGAAACUGCUUGCAAACCCUGGUUGAGGAUGUUUUGCUGAAGUACACAGUGACAAAUGUCUUACUUGUGUAACAGUGGCAGUAAGCAAAUCAGGACCUUCUCUGGCUCCAACAGUGCAGUUAUGAGGACUCACUAUCUGUUCCGUGGUGGUGGUGGUGCCGCAACCACUACUGCUGGUAUGAGGGUAAUAGUGUGAGACAGUGGUCCAGCCCCACUCACUCACACCGUGUCUUGUUACCGCUCUGUCUCUCAUCCCGGUGCUGAGGACUUCUAUCCUCUCACAGGACUCUGUCCCUUUUCUCUCUCACACAACCUGGCUAGUGAGUGACACACCCAGCACACAAACAUACCAGUGCAGUGCGUAUCUCAUCAGUUCUUGCAUAACACCAGUCAUGAAGAACUUGGUUACUUGGUUCUAAAGAGCAGACAUAGACUAGGAAUUCUUUUGAUAAUUAGAACUUAAAAAGGUAGACAAAGCUGGUAAAUAUUUACACCCUGUGGACUUACCUAUCAGUAUAUAUUGAGGGACUCCUACCAGUAGUUGUAUAUGGACUUUGUGUGAAGUAGUGAGUGGUUGGCUCAAGUCCACGUACCAGCAGUAGGUGACACUCACUAGCAGGUUGACACAGAGCCAGGCCCAAGCAUAUGGACUCGGCUUAGCUGUAAGGUAAUGGUCAUAAACUUUUUGGUAAGGUAGUAUCUUGCAUGGACUCGAUCAAGCAUUCAGGACUAAGUGUGCCAUAAAGUUUACCACAAAGAUUUUAGGCGGCUAAAGCCCAGUACUGAUUUGUUGAGAUGAAAGAGAAUCAUUGCCUGGCUAAUGAAAUAGUGAAGGGGAUGAUUAGUGAGUGAGAAGUGAAUAGUGAAAGUGAUAAGUGAUCAAAGUGAAAUAAGUGAAAUAUCGGUGCAUUAUAUUACGUUGCGUUCAAGACGGCAAGACGGCAAAUCCCUGCCAUCCAUUCUUAUCCUCUCCUACCAUCUUCACAACACACCAUCUUCAAGUGAUAAACAUGGCAGGUGUCUUGGAAGAUUUCUUAUUGGUCAUGGUGAAACUAUGGUGAUGAUGUUAACAUGAACAUGGUCACAGCAUGAGUGUGGAUGAGGGAGAGGGAUGGCUGGGCAGCAGUGGGAAAUGUACACAUUUAGUCAUCAAAAACAUGGUAUGAGUAAAUUGACAACAUGAGCAGGCAGAGGAAGAAAUACAGAUUGAUAUAGUGGGCAUUGUGUGUCAUGGUGAGCUAUGCUGCAUGUGAUAUUUGCAUUGGUGGCAACCUGUGCAAAAUAAAAAUCUUCAUACAUUUCUUUUUGGCACCAAUCUGCAAAUAAUUAAGUUUGUGAGUGUUGAACCCACAAAUGUUGAGGGUAAGUUAUAUAUGUAAAAGAUUAACUACCAAAAUCUCUUUCCCUUAUUAGUAAGUACCUAAUUCAUAGUAUGGCUGUCAUAAACCAGGUGUGGUAAAAUUUCAAUACUUACAUAAUUAAAUAAUCUGUUACUUCAUGUGUUGCUAUUCUGAUGUGAAACAAGUCACUUCAAUUCAUUUUUUUUUUUCUCAUGUACAGUCACACCUUGUGAUUUGAACAUCCUUCAAUUUGAACAGGGUUGGUGAACAAAUUUUGUUCUCCAGUUUGAAUGCUGUCCUCCAAUUUGAACACAAAUACCAAUUCAAACAAUGCCUCUUGGCCAGUCUUCUUGUAUUCCUCCAUCCCUCCCCAUAUCCUUCAUCCCUCUAUCUGUCCCACCCACCCUCCUCCCUCUGCUCAUAUAUCUCUCUCUCUCUCUCUCUCUCUCUCUCUCUCUCUCUCUCUCUCUCUCUCUCUCUCUCUCUCUCUCUCUCUCUCUCUCUCUCUCUCUCUCUCUCUCUCUCUCUCUCUCUCUCUCUCUCUCUCUCUCUCUCUCUCUCUCUCUCUCUCUCUCUCUCUCUCUGUAAUUUACUCUCAUUCUCUGUAUGUCCCUACCUCCCAUUGUUCCUUUCCUAUCCCUUCCACUUUCAUUUGGUCUGAAACCUCCCUCCAUGCCACAUUCCCUCCCCCAUAUCUGUCAGAGAUAAGAGAGAAGGGAGUGAUACCUCACUCUCCCCCCCCUCCCCUAGUUCAUUCUAUGCCAUUUUCACUUCUUACUUUUCUCACUCUUAUCUUUUCUCACUCUUUCUCACUUGUGUAAUUCCAUUUCCAUUCUGUUUUGCAAUUCUCAAGAUUGUUCUUACUUUUAGAGAGAGAGAGAGAGAGAGAGAGAGAGAGAGAGAGAGAGAGAGAGAGAGAGAGAGAGUGGAUUUUAGUGUGAAAUUAAAAUUGUGUUCACUACAAGGACUGUUUUCAAGACUGAAGAUGGCAGGAACUUCUGAUGACUCAUUUUGAGGUUGAUGUUUAUAUACAAUGGUAUUUUGUGUAAAAUUUUAAAGUCAUUGUUUUGUAUCUGACAUAUAGGACAACUCAUUUUUUUGUGUCUUUUUUAGGAUGAUUUAAGUGGUGUCUUAUACUCCAAAAUAUAUGAUACUUCAUUUUUUCUUUUACUGUAUUUUUUUUCUAUAAUUUAGGUUAAUUUCAUUCAGUUCUAUGCCUAGGACACAACAUAAACCCAUAAAAGAAUAGGGGAAUUUUGGGAUCUAAAACUGAUUUUUUUUUUUUACACUAAUUUGAAUGGGAUAAAUUGCUUCCUAAUUCAAACAUUUCCAAUUUGAACAGCCCAAGAGAACCAAUUAAGUUUGAAUCACAAGGUACCACUGUAUUACAAGAGGAAACAAUACAGAGCAGAAGCCUUGUGUUGACCCAGUGUGUUGCUAGUCAAACAGGCACCAGUACUGUAGAUUUAAUUGGCUUUGUUUUGCCUGCAGUAACCAGAGCUGUUGGGGCACCAUGCAUACUCUCAUUGCUGUAGUAGCAUAUUCACUGUAAUUAUAUUAUGAAAGGCUACAUUGAAAUUUUCAGUUGACUGUAGUUCAUGAUGCUGUAUUAUCAGUAUUUGCACUACUGACUAUAAUAUAGUGCAUAUGUAGUGUAAAAGUUAAGCUUUGCAUUUCUUUUCAUUAUGCUUGGUGCUUUUUUUUAAUCUUAAAUCCUUUGAUCUGUUGGCAAUCGAAUAACAAAAUCUGACAAUUAGAUUAGAUUUUUUCAUAGAUCAGAGUACUUAAGAUUAAAGAAAAUAUGCUAAACUUUCUUCUUUCUUUCUUUUUAGAAAAGUGGGGAUAGAAGGAUAUAGUGAGAAAUAUUGAAUUAUAGUAAUAGUUAACAGUGUGUGGGCAGUCCACGUUGCUAUUGUUGAUUGUGUAGGUAAAAAUUUGUUCUUUCCUUGCUCAUAGACACCUUGAUACAGCUAGGUUUGAGCUCCCAACCUAGAAGCCUGCAGCUGGAUGCAAGUGUAGGUGUAGUUAGUAACAUGUUUGUGUGGUGAUUAGCUAGGAUGCUAAACUUAGUGAAAGUGAAUGCACUGUGUUACUAGACUAUUGAUGGUGACUCUAUAGGUAUACACAUAUGAUAGCUAAUGUAAACAAAAAAAAAAAAAAAAAAAAAAAACUGACACUUUUAUAGGAUAUAUAUAUAUACAUAUAUAUCAUGCUAAAUAGGGAUAAUAGGCCAUUAACGUUAAUGGCUUGCCCUUUAACGUUAUUGGGCAAGAGAAUUUUGGAAAGUAAGGUUAAUGAUCAGGUUAGGUUAAUGUUACUGAGCAAGCUAUUAACAUAAAUGGCCUAUUAUCCCUGUUGAGCACAUCAUUAUCAAUAUCUUGCUGUUUUCUUACAUUAUUAAUUUGACAAUAAUUUGUAUAUAAAUUAUGUCCAAUGAUACAUAUAGUAGUAAUGCAUACUGUAUGUUCCAUUGGUAAUAAGCAUUUUAAAUACAAAGUCCCUCUAGUCUAUAUGGUCUUGAUCAUGGGACACUUAGUUAACAAACUUUCAGCACAAACUGGUCACUUUCCAUAUGAUGCUAUUAUUACAGUAUGGUAUUUGUAUGUAUUAAUAUAUAGUGUACACAUUGCAGUAAUAAUGUCAGUCAAGCUCAAAUUACAGUCUAGUGUACAAACACUUCCUCAGGACCUCAGUUAUGCACAUAUGUAAUAACUUUUGGUUAAUUUUUGUGGUAAUGAAAAAGGUGUCUUCAGUAUCUGCAUAUAGAAAAGUGAGCUGAAUUCAUAGGAGGUGGUGAUGAGAAACUGGUAAAUAUUUUUGAAACCAGGAAGAUAUGUAAAGAGAACAUAGAUCAAAUGAAAAGUAAAAUUAUUAAAAAUUAUCAGGCUCUGAUAAAGAUCAGUCAGUGUUAAAAGAAUGCAAGGAGAUUAUGGGUGAACUGUUAGUAAAUGUUUUUGGAAAUAAGCAGAUUUGGGAGAGGAAAAUGAAAUAUUAAGAGUAGACACUGCCAAAAUUUGGCUAAUAUCUACUACUCAAGCCAGUUUCCAAAAUCCACCCCAAAAAUAGUUGAGCAUGUCACUCAGUUUCUUUGAUAGUCUUGUAGCAGUACAUGAUUGGUUUUUCCCUCCAAAUAUAUUAAUUUACAUUUUCAAUUUUGAUGUCACCCACCUUGCAGAAUCCUUCAUUUUCUAUUCAUUAUUCAUAUGUGUUUAAUUUUAAUUUUUUUUAUUAUAGUCAUACUUAUCAAUUCUCUCUGUGACAACCACACACAGCACAUCUCACUGUAAUGUUAGUGUUGUUAUAUGGCAGUUAAAUUCCUUUAUUCCAGAGAAUGUAUCUCUUUUCAUAAUUAGGCAUAUACUAUAUUAAUUGAUAUUAUAGAUAAGUCAUUAUCAUUAUGAUAAUUGAUAAGUGAAGCAAGGUAAAUGCAAUGGUACUUCCAGAGUUAAACAUCUGGCAACAGUUAUAAACAAAGCUAACUAACCCUGGAAUAAGGCAUAAUAUUUAUUAAUUUUAAUAUUUCUAUUGAAAAAUUGAAAAAAACAGAAAAGAUAUUCCUAAAUAUAUUUAAAAAAACGCAUAUGCUAUAUGAGGAAAAUAUCUUGAGAGGCUUGUUCAUACAUGUGAUGACAUGAUGACAUGAAUAUGAGUGCUAAACACCAGAAUAUAAUUGUUAUAAUUUACAUUAUAACAUUUUUGUUACAGUCAACUGCAUAUUUUACCAUAAAUUUUAUCCUGAUAUUUGUCAUUGGUUGCAAUAUAAUGUCUUUGCAUAUUACAGUAUAAAUUCUUUCUUCCAUUCAUAUCAGUUGUGACAUUUGCAAUGGUCUGGAAAAACUGCCAGAUUCACCACCCAACUUAAUUUUACUUAAAAAACUCUGUAUGCUGGUAAAAAAAAUCUUUAUAUCAUUUGUGUGUUAUCAAACCAACUAAGAGAAUAUUAGGAACAUUUUUAGUAACCAUCUUUAACUAGAGAGCAAGAAAUGUGGCAGAACAUGCUAAAUACUACACACAUUAUCUCAAGUUUGGGAUGUAUCAUCACCUUGGGAUGAAUGCCAUUUUUUUUUUUUUCAAUUAAGUUUAUUUUAUCAAUUCAAGUUAUACAGUUAACAUUAAACAUUAAGUCCUGAAUCUUAGCAGGACACUGGCAAAGAUUGUCUGUUGACAUUAUCUUUCCCAACAUCUUCUCUGGAUUGCCACUUGUCUGUUGACAUUAUCUUUCCCAACAUCUUCUCUGGAUUGCCACUUGUCUGUUUACAUCAUGUCUCCUACUUUCCUCUUCGGAAAUACAGCUCAUCCUUCCCUUGAUACUUUAUAUUUCUUUCGUGAUAGACCAUGUAUAGACCGAGGUUUUACAACAGCACUGCAAACUCGUAUCUUCUUCCUUAGGCUUUUUGGUGUGUUGGAGAAGUCAUUGUUUCUGAUGUUGGCCAAUCCUUAACUGUCACAAUAUUCCCACAGCACAGAUAAUAUUUGCUCAAUUCUUUUUGGGAUUUGGCUGAUAAAAUAUUAAUCCCUGUAGAAACCAGUGAAAAAUGUUUCUAGCAAAAUAGGUAGCAGGAGAUUAGAAAUAAAUGUGAAAACACCAAGAGUCUAGUUGUAUUUAGUUUGUAAUAACUGUUCUAUAGAGUGUGCAUCACCAGAUCUUAUGGAUACUGUUAACCUAAUACACUUAGGAUUAAUGUUUUGUAGCAUAUACACCAAAAUGUAUCACCAGAGGUGAUUUCAGAAUGUGCAUCUGUAGAGAACUCUGUGAGCAUAUACCGAGUUCUAUAUUAAAGCAGCUGGCAACCUCUGGCAGCUCAGACAAUUGUGAAUGCCCCAAUUCAUAUGAAUAAAUUUAUUUAAAUUCAAUUCCAAUUCAUUUUGAUGUUUGAUUUUUUUUUUCUGUCUUGUUUGAUUUCAGUUCAUGCCUUUUGAACUUCAAUUCCAAUUUAAAUUCCAAUUUGAUUAAUAAUGAACAAUAACUCGAUGUAAGGGUUAUAGUUAACUAAUAUCUCUGUCAGAGGAAACAAUGUAUUGAAACCAGAAAUAAAACAAACCAUGCACUAGGAUUCAUCCUUUGGAUUGUUAAAAAUUGAAUAGCUAUAGUUUUUUUUUUUUUUUUUUUUUGAGGGGUUCUGGUUCUGGUAAAAAAAAAAAAAAAAAAAGGCCAACUGAGAUGCCAGUCCCAAAAGAGAACAGCCAAAUGGAUUAUCCAAACUUGAAUGAUGUGUCUUAAAACCUCCCAUUUGAAAGAAUUUAAAUCAUGGGAAGGGGAAAAUACAGAAGCGGACAGGGAGUGUCAGAGACUACUCAGAAUGCCUAGCUUCAAGGAAGCUGUUUUAGAUAGAAACUUCACUUCAGUUCAGAUUAUUAGGAAAGGACAGACUGAGGAUGUUCAUUUUAGAGAGGGGGAUAAUUGAGUGUUAUUGAAGAAGAGGGGAUAGCUACAUGGAUGGUUGUGUUGAGUUGACAGAUGGAGGAAUUUGGUUUAUGAGGCAUUGAAAGAUACUAAGUUUGCUCUGCCUCAGUCAGAAAUUUUAGAAACAUUAGAAGUCAAGCAUUCUAUGACUUCCCUGCAUGAGUUAUUUAAUUACUGAAUGUUUGGGUGUGUGCUAAAAGGCAUGAUAAGAUUCAGAGUGGUAUUGACAAUGGAAGAGUGAAUAGUUUGACUUAGAAUUGAUGAACUCUAUCAGUUCUAUCUAUUGACUCUAUCAAAUGCUUCUGAUAUGUUUAAAGCAACAAAAAAAGUUUCACCAAAAUCCCUAAAAGAGGUUGACCAUUAAGGAAAGCCAGAAGAUCACCAGUAGAGUGGUCAUGAUGGAACCCAUACUAGCAGUCAGAUAUAAAGUUGUGAAGUGACUGAUGUGUAAGAAUCAUUGUGUUGAGGAUAGAUUGAAAACUUUAUAAAGGCAGGAAAUUAGAGCAAUAGGAGGGUACUUUGAAGAGUUAGAGCAGUCACCCUUUUUAGAAACAGGCUGAAUGUAAGCAAACAAACUUCCAGCAGGAAGGAAAAGUAGAUGUUGAUAGAGCUGGAAGAGUUAAAUCAAUCAAGGUGCAAGCACGGAGGCACUGGUUUCGAGAACAAUAGGGGGAAUCCCAUCAGGUAUGUAAGGCUUUCAAGGAUUAAGGCUAAUGAGGGCAUAAGAAAUAUCUUUAAUAAGAGGCAUGAAAUAGUCAGAGGAUAAAGGAGAGGGAGGAACAAGCCUUGAAUCAUUCAAAAUGGAGUUUUUAGUGAGGUUUGAGCAAAAACUUCAUUUUUUCAGAGAGAUGACAUGGCAAUGGUGUUAUGAAGUUGAAAUAGAGGAGAAAAAGGUGAAGAAAAAAGUUGUUGGAGAUUUUUUUUUUAGAUAUCCGUAAGAAUAUUUAUAACAAUGAUCAACUCCAGAUUAUUGACCUGGAUCUAAAUGUUAGUGUAGUCAGUAGGGUGCUUUGAUAUAAAAUUAAACACAUUUAUGGACAGAGGUAACAGAUGAAUAUAGAUUUGUAUGUUUAAUUCAAGGAUUGUCAUGUAUAGGCCUAAUAUAGUCACUGCAGGCUGAACAUAUCUAGAAGCAACGUUGCAUGCCUCUACCCCCUUUUAAUGGGGCAUCUGAUUAGUGCACUUAUAAUGUUUAUAAUGUUCAUACUAUUUCCUAAAAUUUUAAUGCUUAGGAUAUUUUAUCACUUUAUCAGUUAAUUUAACUAAUUUUCAGAAAUAUCAGUUAGAAAACAGUAAUAAUAUCAAAGUAUUAAUCCUCCAAAAAAAUAAGGGAAACAAACAUGUCAGUGAUAGUGUAAGUCAUGGCAAAAAUUUAUUUUGAACAAAGCAUACUAUAUUUAUUUCAUAUAGAAUGUCAAACAAAAAUAAAAUAAAUCUCAAUUAAAUGGUUCACAUAUUCUGUUUUACUGUUGGUAAUAACUAACUUGCAUUUUCAAUGCGCUUUUCACUUAUUACACAGUAAGCAAAAGAAAUUAGAUAAAUGAACUCUUUAUUACUCAUGUUAAGUUGAAUAACAUGGAUCAGCACAGAGUUACAGCCAUCCUUCCCCAUUCAUGUACUAGUGACUGUUAAUGUUAUCCACCCAUCAUCUUACUAUCACCUGCUAUGCUAAGAGUUGCUGCAAACAGCCAAGUUGGUUAUCACAGUGGGCAAAUUUUUCUGUGGAUCUCUGGAUUUUAAUGUACAUGGACCUACUACUGUGGUAUUCCAAUUAUAUGAGGUGUAAUCAAAAAGUAUCCAACCUUGAAUUUGUUAGCACAAAGUAAUAAUGCAUGAGUAUUAGGGUAUUAGGUGGCCGCAUCCUUACUGAGCAUGAACAAAAAUGUUCGUGUCUGUAGAUGGCAUUAGUUGCCUGCAGUGAUGCACUGAGUACAGACAUGAAGAGCAUGCUGUGUGAUUUUUCUUUUUAAGUCAAAAAUACUGUAUUAAAUUGUGCCAAAAACUUGGUGAUACACAAGCCCAGACUGUUGAGAAGAUUCAGAAGGCCUUUGGAGAUGAUGCUAUGGGGAAAACACAAAUAAAGGAGUGGUACAACCGGUUCAAAGAUGGUUGCAUCUCAGUGGACAGUGGGCCACGUUGUGGCAGACCAUCGACUAGCAGAAAUGACGAGAUGAUUGCAAAGGCUUAAAGAAAAGUCUAUGAAGACCAUCAUGUGGCUAUUGAGGAGACUGUUGCUGAAGUUGGAAUCAGCCAUGGGUCAGUUCAGCAAAUUAUAGCAGAAGAUUUGUUCAUGAGGAGCAUGUCGGCCAAAUUUGUACCAAAGUUGCUGUCUGACCAGCAGAAAGGAAAUCUCCCAGGACAUGCUGGAGUGUGCUAGCCAAGAUCAAAACUUUAUGAACACUAUCAUCACUGGCAGGGAGACAUGGAUGUACAGCUAUGACCCUGAAAAAAAUUGCAAUCAUCCCAAUGGAAGCAUCUAUCCUUGCCAAGACCAAAGAAAGCAAGACAGGUGUGCAGCAGUGUUAAACUGAUGAUGACCAGUUUUUUUUUUUGACUACGGAAGUAUUGUGCAUCAUGAAUAUGUACCACAAGAUCAGACAAUUAACAAAAAAUACUACCUGAGGGAUCUUCGCUGCCUUCAUGAAGCUGUAUGGCAAAAACGACACGACCUGUGGGUAGCAAGGAACUGGCAACUCCACCAUGACAACACACCCACUCAUUCCGCCCACAUUGUCCAAGUCAAGCAUAACACACCACUUGUUUGUCAGGCUUCCUACCACCCCAUAGACUUGGCUCUGUGUGACUUUUGGGUAUUUCCAAAGCUCGGAAAUACAUUCAAAGGGAGAAGAUUUCAGUAAACAGAGGACAUUAAGCAAAAUUUGAUGGCACAUCUCUACAGCAUCCAAAAAAAAUAAUUUCCAGAAAUGUUUCCAGCAGUGGCAGGAAUGCCGGCAGAAGUGUGUAGACUCCAAAAAUGAAUUAAAUACUUUGAAGGAGACUAAAUAAAAAUUGAGUUUUUUUAAUAUUACUUGUUCUUUGGCCAAAGAUUGGAUACUUUCUGACUACACUUCGUACUUGCCCCAUCCUCUCUUGUAUCAUAAUCUCAUCUGAUAUAUUUCCACAAAAACAAACAUGGCUAACAUAUCUCACUACAUCCCAAUUUUCUCCCAGAGUGCAGUUGCUUUUGGCUUAAUUAAUGACAUAAUUUACUGAAGCAUUGGAAAAGAAAA
RNA transcript from Scylla paramamosain (green mud crab), 11551 nucleotides. It is a transcript of the gene named YTH domain-containing protein 1-like, with no coding region annotated. NCBI's taxonomy places the organism in Eukaryota, Metazoa, Arthropoda, Malacostraca, Decapoda, Portunidae. The record is from RefSeq and is a predicted model, not a curated record. The transcript is spliced from 10 exons.